UACGUAGGUGGCAAGCGUUGUCCGGAUUUAUUGGGUUUAAAGGGUGCGUAGGCGGUCUUUUAAGUCAGUGCUGAAAUACUCCAGCUUAACUGGAGGGGUGGCAUUGAUACUGGAAGACUUGAGUGUAGUCGAGGUAGGCGGAAUUGACGGUGUAGCGGUGAAAUGCUUAGAUAUCGUCAAGAACACCGAUAGUGAAGACAGCUUACUAGGCUACAACUGACGCUGAGGCACGAAAGUGUGGGGAUCAAACAGGAUUAGAUACCCUGGUAGUCCACACUGUAAACGUUGAUUACUCGAUGUUGGCGAUAUACUGUCAGCGUCUUAGCGCAAGCGAUAAGUAAUCCACCUGGGGAGUACGCCGGCAACGGUGAA
RNAcentral lists this ribosomal RNA (372 nucleotides) under uncultured bacterium. RNAcentral describes it as "bacterial SSU rRNA". It matches the Rfam family "Bacterial small subunit ribosomal RNA", at positions 524 to 898 of the family's 1533-position model. The record is from RNAcentral.